GAUGAACGCUGGCGGCGUGCCUAAUACAUGCAAGUCGAGCGAACGGACGAGAAGCUUGCUUUUCUGAUGUUAGCGGCGGACGGGUGAGUAACACGUGGAUAACCUACCUAUAAGACUGGGAUAACUCCGGGAAACCGGAGCUAUUACCGGAUAAUAUUUUGAACCGCAGGGUUCAAAAGUGAAAGACGGUCUUGCUGUCACUUAUAGAUGGAUCCGCGCUGCAUGAGCUAGUUGGUAAGGUAACGGCUUACCAAGGCAACGUUGGAUAGCCGGCCGGGGAGGGGACCAGGCAAACUUGGACUGGGGCACCGCCCCAGCUCCUUCGGGAGGGAAGCAGUAGGAAUUUUGCCGAAAUGGGCGAAGCCCGAUCGAGGAAUGGCGGCGUGAGUGAUAAAGGCCUCCGGUUCGUAAAUCUCUGUUUUUAGAACAAAAAAUAUGUGUAAAUAACCGUGCGAAUAUUGCCGGUACGUAAGCAGAAAGCCCCGGCUACCUCCGU
This 496-nucleotide ribosomal RNA is filed under the name uncultured bacterium. RNAcentral's name for it is "partial 16S ribosomal RNA". It matches the Rfam family "Bacterial small subunit ribosomal RNA", at positions 28 to 506 of the family's 1533-position model. The record is from RNAcentral.